AACCUCCGCAAUGUGAGAAAUCGCGACGGGGGGAUCCCAAGUGCCAUUCUUAACGGGAUGGCUUUUCAUUAGUGUAAAGAGCUUUUGGAAUAAGAGCUGGGCAAGACCGGUGCCAGCCGCCGCGGUAACACCGGCAGCUCUAGUGGUAACAAUUUUUAUUGGGCCUAAAGCGUCCGUAGCCGGUUUAAUAAGUCUCUGGUGAAAUCCUGCAGCUUAACUGUGGGAAUUGCUGGAGAUACUAUUAGACUUGAGACCGGGAGAGGUUAGAGGUACUCCCAGGGUAGAGGUGAAAUUCUGUAAUCCUGGGAGGACCGCCUGUUGCGAAGGCGUCUAACUGGAACGGUUCUGACGGUGAGGGACGAAAGUUAGGGGCGCGAACCGGAUUAGAUACCCGGGUAGUCCUAACUGUAAACGAUGCGGACUUGGUGUUGGGGUGGCUUUGAGCUGCUUCAGUGCCGAAGGGAAGCUGUUAAGUCCGCCGCCUGGGAAGUACGGUCGCAAGACUGAAACUUAAAGGAAGU
RNAcentral lists this ribosomal RNA (521 nucleotides) under uncultured bacterium. RNAcentral describes it as "bacterial SSU rRNA". It matches the Rfam family "Archaeal small subunit ribosomal RNA", at positions 345 to 866 of the family's 1478-position model. The record is from RNAcentral.